Long non-coding RNA from Ziziphus jujuba (common jujube), 895 nucleotides. RefSeq lists it as uncharacterized. The transcript has 3 exons. Lineage: Eukaryota; Viridiplantae; Streptophyta; Magnoliopsida; Rosales; Rhamnaceae. The record is from RefSeq and is a predicted model, not a curated record.
UAAAUAAAGAGUUUUUUAAAAAAUGUGGAGUCUAAAUAAUAUUAGCAAUAAAUCAACACGAGCAGAAUAUAUAUUAUCAUGAAUAAAGUCAGAGAGCAACAGAGGUCCUUAAACCAAACUUAAAGCAUAGUGGGCUAGCUCAUGAUCUACCUGUUUGCCGUUUUUCGUAUAAGAAUAAGAAAAAGGGAAUUUGGCCUUAUAUCCUUAUUUUAAACACCUCAAUGAAAAAUACUCCUGUCCUUUAAAACUUUUUUCAUUUACCCAUCUUUUUUUCAUUAUUUCAACUUUAUCCUUACUCUGUAAACCACGUGCAAUUUUUUUCUCUCACUGAUCAACAUCUCACCUACCACAUUCCACAUCCAGACAGAGCGUUUACAGCUUUAGCAGCUCACCUCUUCUUCUCUGCUGCUUGUCUUCUGGUGAUGUUCUUCCCCAACAUAUGUCUACAACCCCAUCGCUUCCAAUCAGCUCCCUCUGGCCGUAAUCAGCGAUAUUUACCUUCUAGACUUCGUGGAUCUGUCUGGGUUUGUUCAGGAAAUCUCUUCCAAGGUCAGCAGAGUGGUGGUUUCAGAUCACUACAAGACCGCAGUAGAUUGCAGUGAGAGUUCUUGUUCAGUUGGUGAGAAUGUGGAGAGGGUUAUUGACAUCCGGAGGAGUGGAGCUACUGUUGUUUUUUAUUAUUUCAAGGAAAGAGCUGAUAGUGGUCUAAAAGAUUUGAAUUUUGUUUCGAUGAGGGUUUGAUCUUUGAAUCCAUCUUCGUUCAAACGGUCAGGGAUUAACCGGCUUAUCCUAGAAGUAGGAAUGAUUCUCUUGGUCAAUCAUAUGAGAUUGCUCUUGUGGCUAGAGCAUUUGGAGAUUGCCUGGCUAUGAAAGCUGAUUCUGUAUUGGAGUUGAG